UACUCUCACACUCUCUAAUGCGGUUGCAUUAGGAGUGGUGGACUUGGGUGUUGCUGCUCCACGGUGGCUCACCUCAAAUCGAUUCGUGCAACUCCUGGUUGGACAUAGUACGGCGUGAUAAGUGUCUUCGCCGGCACCUCUUUCAGAGGGUGGCUGAUUGGGAGCUCUGUGCUUCCAAUCGUCUUCGGACAAUGGCUGACA
RNAcentral lists this unclassified non-coding RNA (201 nucleotides) under uncultured Sebacina. Its description in RNAcentral is "sequence contains ITS2". The record is from RNAcentral. Lineage: Eukaryota; Fungi; Basidiomycota; Agaricomycetes; Sebacinales; Sebacinaceae.